GGGUUCGUAGCUCAGGGGUCAGAGCGCUUCGUUGACAUCGAAGAGGCCGGAGGUUCAAUUCCUCCCGGACCCACCA
This 76-nucleotide transfer RNA is filed under the name Candidatus Nanoarchaeia archaeon. RNAcentral describes it as "tRNA-Val". It matches the Rfam family "tRNA". Rfam says of the family: Transfer RNA (tRNA) molecules are approximately 80 nucleotides in length. Their secondary structure includes four short double-helical elements and three loops (D, anti-codon, and T loops). Further hydrogen bonds mediate the characteristic L-shaped molecular structure. tRNAs have two regions of fundamental functional importance: the anti-codon, which is responsible for specific mRNA codon recognition, and the 3' end, to which the tRNAs corresponding amino acid is attached (by aminoacyl-tRNA synthetases). tRNAs cope with the degeneracy of the genetic code in two manners: having more than one tRNA (with a specific anti-codon) for a particular amino acid; and 'wobble' base-pairing, i.e. permitting non-standard base-pairing at the 3rd anti-codon position. Lineage: Archaea; Nanobdellati; Nanobdellota; Candidatus Nanoarchaeia. The record is from RNAcentral. RNAcentral also lists the same sequence under 2 other names.